Methanosarcina mazei is the source of this 160-nucleotide non-coding RNA. NCBI's taxonomy places the organism in Archaea, Methanobacteriati, Methanobacteriota, Methanomicrobia, Methanosarcinales, Methanosarcinaceae. The record is from Rfam.
CAUUCUAUCCAUUCAGAAUGUCCCUAUUCUGAUGUGCAUUUCUGGCAACGGAUCUGUGCAAAGCUCAGAGGACAAUGAGGUGUAAAACUGAACCUGACAGUUCCAAACCGCUAGGGAAAAGGAUAUAUGGAGAACCGAAAGGUGAAGAUCUGUUUGAGAG